CGUGUAGGCGGCCUCUUAAGUCUGAUGUGAAAGCCCGGGGCUUACCCCCGGAAGGGCAUUGGAAACUGGGAGGCUAGAGUACCGGAGAGGAAGGUGGAAUUCCUGGUGUAGCGGUGAAAUGCGUAGAUAUCAGGAGGAACACCGGUGGCGAAGGCGGCCUUCUGGACGGAUACUGACGCUGAGACGCGAAAGCGUGGGGAGCAAACAGGAUUAGAUACCCUGGUAGUCCACGCCGUAAACGAUGGGCACUAGGUGUUCGGGGUAUUGACCCCCUGAGUGCCGCAGCUAACGCAUUAAGUGCCCCGCCUGGGACUACGGCCGCAGGUUAAA
RNAcentral lists this ribosomal RNA (330 nucleotides) under uncultured bacterium. Its description in RNAcentral is "bacterial SSU rRNA". It matches the Rfam family "Bacterial small subunit ribosomal RNA", at positions 568 to 898 of the family's 1533-position model. The record is from RNAcentral.